This 558-nucleotide ribosomal RNA is filed under the name Anophryoides haemophila. Its description in RNAcentral is "partial Bacterial large subunit ribosomal RNA". It matches the Rfam family "Bacterial large subunit ribosomal RNA", at positions 5 to 516 of the family's 2925-position model. The record is from RNAcentral. Lineage: Eukaryota; Ciliophora; Oligohymenophorea; Philasterida; Glauconematidae.
AAGUUAUUAAGGGCACACGGUGGAUGCCUUGGCAUUAAGAGCCGAUGAAGGACGUGUGAAUCUGCGAUAAGCCUCGGGGAGCCGAUAACUGGGCUGUGAUCCGAGGAUUUCCGAAUGGGGAAACCUGGCUCAUCUUCAUGGUGAGUUACCGCCAGCUGAAUGUAUAGGCUGGUUGGGGGGAACGCGGGGAAGUGAAACAUCUCAGUACCCGCAGGAAGAGAAAAUAAAGUAAUGAUUCUGUGAGUAGUGGCGAGCGAAAGCGGAAGAGACUAAACCUGUGGUGUGUGAUAGCGGUUAGGCGUUGCAUCAUGGGGGUUGUGGGAGUCACAGUGGCAGUUCUAACUGGCUGCCGGCAUGAUGUUCAGGAUGGUAGGUGAACGACUUGGAAUGGUCGGCCGUAGAGGGUGAGAGUCCCGUAAUCGAAAUUGUUCUGUCCGUGGUGUGGCCACCCGAGUAGCACGGGGCUCGUGGAAUCUCGUGUGAAUCUGCCAGGACCACCUGGUAAGUCUAAAUACUUCUUAGUGACCGAUAGUGAAUCAGUACCGUGAGGGAAUGGUG